ACUCUCUUCUUCUUCUUCCUCUUCCUCUCUUCUCUCUC
This 38-nucleotide small RNA is filed under the name Arabidopsis thaliana (thale cress). RNAcentral describes it as "ATSL143700". The record is from RNAcentral. Lineage: Eukaryota; Viridiplantae; Streptophyta; Magnoliopsida; Brassicales; Brassicaceae.